GAGCCGCCAUCCACUGGGCCGCCGGACGAGACGACGGUGAGACGGCGCAGCGACUAGUCGCCGCCCUCAUGUGGUUCUUCGUCAUCGGUGGCCACCUCCGUGAGGGAAAGUCGCUGUUCGACGUCGCGCUCGACACACCCGAUGUGUCGACAGCAACACGCGCGCGGGCACUACAAGCGCGCGCCUACCUCAGAUGGCAUCGCUCCGAAAUGGAGGAAGCCGUCGCGGAGGCGACGGAAGCGGCUGCGCUCGCCCGGGAGGUAGGUGACCGUCGCACAGAGGCCCGGGCGCUCUACGUCUCGGGGCUGACGAUCGCUGGGCUGACGCCCGACUCUGACCGGGGUCAGAACGACCUGGGGGCAAGCAUCGCCAUCGCGCGCGAAGCCGCUGACCGGUGGUGCCUCGCUCACGCCCUCAGCGGAGCCGGAUCGGCCUACUUCCAACGGGGCGACAAUGGGCGGGCCCAGCCUUUCCUGCGAGAGGCAGUCGCCGUGGGCGACGCGAUGGGCGACACCUACAUCGCCAACACCUCGCGGUACUGGCUGGGCCGCAGCCUGCUGUUCGCCGGUGACUACGCCGAGGGCAUGGCGCUCCUGGAAGGGGUCGUCGACGGCGCGAGGGAGUCCGGCGACACGUUCAGCCUGCCGAUGGCACUGUCAAUACUCGGAACCGAACUCGCGCUGCACGGUGACGCGGAGCUCGGGUUCGCCUACCUCGACGAGGCCGCCACGAUCGCCCGACGCGGCGGGCUACCACGGGCGGGCCACCUGGCGCUGGCGCUCCAGAUGAAGUCACUUGUGCUCCUCGCCUGGCAGGACACCGCGGCACGCCCCAUCCUUGACGAGUACAUCGGGCUCUCGCUCGGAAACGGCGGAGUCAUCUUCGCGCUGACCGGGCUCGCGUCGGUUGACGUCCUCGAUGGCGACCUCGACACCGCUGAGAUGCGGCUCAGAGACGCGCGAGCGAUCCCUCCUCCCGACGGGUUGCGGCAGCCGUUCAUGGAUCUGGUCACCGCCGCGAUUGCCCGCGCCCAGGGUGACCUCGACGGCGCUG
This 1053-nucleotide unclassified non-coding RNA is filed under the name uncultured fungus. RNAcentral describes it as "sequence contains 18S rRNA gene, ITS1, 5.8S rRNA gene, ITS2, 28S rRNA gene". Lineage: Eukaryota; Fungi. The record is from RNAcentral.